UACAGAGGUCCCAAGCGUUGUUCGGAUUCACUGGGCGUAAAGGGUGCGUAGGUGGCCGGUUAAGUCUGACGUGAAAUCUCCGAGCCUAACUCGGAAACUGCGUCGGAAACUAUCCGGCUCGAGGGUUGGAGGGGGGACUGGAAUACUUGGUGUAGCAGUGAAAUGCGUAGAUAUCAAGUGGAACACCAGUGGCGAAGGCGAGUCCCUGGACAACUCCUGACACUGAGGCACGAAAGCGUGGGGAGCGAACAGG
Molecule: ribosomal RNA, 253 nt
Filed under: uncultured bacterium
Lineage: Bacteria
Description: partial 16S ribosomal RNA
Rfam family: Bacterial small subunit ribosomal RNA
Source: RNAcentral